CGCUGGCGGCAGGCCUAACACAUGCAAGUCGAACGGUAACAGGAAGAAGCUUGCUUCUUUGCUGACGAGUGGCGGACGGGUGAGUAAUGUCUGGGAAACUGCCUGAUGGAGGGGGAUAACUACUGGAAACGGUAGCUAAUACCGCAUAACGUCGCAAGACCAAAGAGGGGGACCUUCGGGCCUCUUGCCAUCGGAUGUGCCCAGAUGGGAUUAGCUAGUAGGUGGGGUAACGGCUCACCUAGGCGACGAUCCCUAGCUGGUCUGAGAGGAUGACCAGCCACACUGGAACUGAGACACGGUCCAGACUCCUACGGGAGGCAGCAGUGGGGAAUAUUGCACAAUGGGCGCAAGCCUGAUGCAGCCAUGCCGCGUGUAUGAAGAAGGCCUUCGGGUUGUAAAGUACUUUCAGCGGGGAGGAAGGGAGUAAAGUUAAUACCUUUGCUCAUUGACGUUACCCGCAGAAGAAGCACCGGCUAACUCCGUGCCAGCAGCCGCGGUAAUACGGAGGGUGCAAGCGUUAAUCGGAAUUACUGGGCGUAAAGCGCACGCAGGCGGUUUGUUAAGUCAGAUGUGAAAUCCCCGGGCUCAACCUGGGAACUGCAUCUGAUACUGGCAAGCUUGAGUCUCGUAGAGGGGGGUAGAAUUCCAGGUGUAGCGGUGAAAUGCGUAGAGAUCUGGAGGAAUACCGGUGGCGAAGGCGGCC
This 703-nucleotide ribosomal RNA is filed under the name Escherichia sp. RNAcentral describes it as "bacterial SSU rRNA". It matches the Rfam family "Bacterial small subunit ribosomal RNA", at positions 34 to 726 of the family's 1533-position model. The record is from RNAcentral. Lineage: Bacteria; Pseudomonadati; Pseudomonadota; Gammaproteobacteria; Enterobacterales; Enterobacteriaceae.